GUAACGACUCUCGGCAACGGAUAUCUCGGCUCUUGCAUCGAUGAAGAACGUAGCGAAAUGCGAUACUUGGUGUGAAUUGCAUAAUCCCGUGAACCAUCGAGUCUUUGAACGCAAGUUGCGCCCGAAGCCAUCAGGUUGAGGGCACGUCUGCCUGGGCGUCACGC
Molecule: ribosomal RNA, 164 nt
Filed under: Streptocarpus elongatus
Lineage: Eukaryota; Viridiplantae; Streptophyta; Magnoliopsida; Lamiales; Gesneriaceae
Description: 5.8S ribosomal RNA
Rfam family: 5.8S ribosomal RNA
About the family: 5.8S ribosomal RNA (5.8S rRNA) is a component of the large subunit of the eukaryotic ribosome.
Source: RNAcentral